Paenibacillus sp. is the source of this 151-nucleotide non-coding RNA. NCBI's taxonomy places the organism in Bacteria, Bacillati, Bacillota, Bacilli, Caryophanales, Paenibacillaceae. The record is from Rfam.
GAUACCUUUAAUUCAGUCCCGUGAGGCUGACAAGGACAGCGGAAGCAUGAUCAUUGGUAGGGGUACGUGUGCGCACGUAUAAGCCCUAUUGUUUUAUUAUGGUCUUAAUUAGGCUUAUUGUCAGGAUACCGGGCAAUAAGCCUUUUUUAUU